GGUUGUAGCUCAGUGGAAGAGAGCUUGCCUAGUACAUAUGUGACCCUAGGUUCAACCCCUAGUACCA
RNAcentral lists this transfer RNA (67 nucleotides) under Marmota monax (woodchuck). RNAcentral describes it as "tRNA.Thr". Lineage: Eukaryota; Metazoa; Chordata; Mammalia; Rodentia; Sciuridae. The record is from RNAcentral.